This 3136-nucleotide long non-coding RNA is filed under the name Mus musculus (house mouse). RNAcentral's name for it is "long non-coding RNA chr7:134954742-134957878". The record is from RNAcentral. Lineage: Eukaryota; Metazoa; Chordata; Mammalia; Rodentia; Muridae.
GAGCUGGUAGUCUGUGUGUAUGGAAUAUAUUCCAGUUUAUGCUAAUUUGUAGUAACCACACUCUAAGUAUUGAAAAGUGUGUGUAUUUCCAUAAUGCUCAAAACUAGUUUCUGAAGCCAGUUUAAUGUCACUUAGCUUUUAAAGCUAGCUAUUAUAAUUGCUUGUACAAGUUUGUGUCUGCAUUCAUUUUUUUUUUCAAAGACUCUGAAAGAAAUACCUCAAGGAAGUAAAAGUCUUCAGGUCUGGCUCACUGAUUCUGUCCAUGAGUUGUCUGUGAGAUAUCAGUCAGUAAUGACAAUAACAUAAAGGGUUAAAUUAUUUCAAGAAUGAUGUCACUCUCAAAUCUUAAAAAAGCAAAAAAAGAAAAAAAGAAAAAAAAAAGCAUGUUUUUAGAAGCAAACCAAUACCAAUCCACCAUGUGACAAUGCAGUUGCCUGUCCUUUACAUGUUAGUCUGCACUACAUGUGCUUGGGCUAAUGUCUUUAGAAAGCAGUGCAGCCUUUGCUCCUGCAUGCAGCUGUUUGCUCUGGAGAACCAGGAUUCUCCCUCUGGUUCCUCACCCCAUCCCCUCAGCACCAGCCACACUUUCCCUUCACCUCUGCCCGGCCUUCCUCAGCUCCUAGCAGUUGAGAAGCAAUUGUCUGUUUUAGGAAUAUUCUAUAUCUGUCUUCAGACAAUUCUCAGUGAAGGAUGAAUUUGCCAAAUUCACACUUCUGCCCUUCCAUGACGGAGGAGGCCUUCUCUUAAGGACUGAGUUGGCGUGUUUGGUGGACGCUAUUUCAUAUCCAUUCCCUAUUCCUCUCUUAGUCACAAAAGAUGUGUAGUAUCUUGCUUGCUUGCAUGCUGACUUCCUGCCUCUCUCACAGUGAUGGUUCCCUGCUUCUUAGAGUCACUUCUCUUCACAUGGAAAGAAAAUUCCUCCCUAAUUAAAAAUAGUGAGCAGUAGUGCAUACUCUCUUAAUGAGUAAACAGAUCACAGCAAGUGGAUGUAAUGUAAGACAUCAAAUCAUUUCUGUCCCCUGCUCCCACCCCUACCUCCCCAUCCCCAUCCUUUCAGGUUCACACACAGUGUUGACAGCUGACUUCCAGCACCUUUCGUCAUGCUGUGGUGUGAACAUGUGGUGUGAACACAUGUGGCCCAGACUGAGCUUCUGGCUCCUGAUCCUCCUGCCUCUGCCUCCAAAGUGUGAGGAGUGUGGGUGUGCACUACCACACAUAGCUAUCACUGGUGUUUUGUCACAGCAAUGGAAAGUGGGCUGGCUCAUAUACCAUGGUUUGUGUUCUGGGGAACACGCUUUGGGGAAUGCUGCUUCUUUGGCUAUGCUAAUCAUGUAGGGUCAUGCGCUUUCCUUGUGUAGAGAUUUGUACCUUAUUCUAACUGAUCAUUCCCGUUCAUAUGCAUCAUUUUCUAAUUUUCCCAUUUGUAAACCAAAGUAGACCACACACACAAGAAACUGAGCACAGAGAAUGUUUUUAUGGUUUGGAAAUUAUUGAGACAGUCCCAUGUGGUACUUCUGGGUCCCUGGAUACUCUGCUCCCUCAAUUGUGCUUCUCUCCAUCUUUCUGCAUGUGUCUCCCCAGACUUGGAGUUCACUACCUCUUGACUUUGCUUCUAGUAUACAUAGUUGAGAGUAAGUUAUUUUGUGGUGUAUUAUUACCCUUUCUGUGCGCUGAGCUUUUUCAGUGACACACAUUUUACUGUGCGUCUAUGCUUGUUGAUAGUACAGCUACAGAUUGUUCAUCCUCUUUAGCAAAUAAAAUACCAGUGUGAGAUGGGUCACAGCAAAUGUAUCAUUUCUUCAUGGAUGGAUGCCUGACGUCUAUCGGUGCUUGCAAUGAGAGCCAUGUUGGGGGUCUUUCAUCUGCCAUCUCCCAGUAAUUCCAGGAUGAGACCUCCGGGAUAGCUUCUCCUCAAGGUUAAUGCUUUCCCCAGACUAGGGCAGCCUCAGCCCUUCUUAGGCUCAGGGGUCUGGUCUUUGCAUGAAUAACAGUGUUUAGACUUGACCAGCCUGAUUCCUUGCAGACUGCCCACACUUCACUUGUCCUAAUCCAGCAUUUUAUGGUGUUAAGUUUUUCAUUGUAUGCUGACAGUUUCUGUGUUAUAGCACUGUAGUGGUGGUAAUGUGAGGUCUAGCCUGGACCCCUGCUCCUCCUCACCCAAAAGGACAUGCAUACUGUUCUAGUUUACAAUUCUGCUGCUGGGAUAAACACUGCGAUCCAAAGCAACUUAGGGGAGGACAUGGUUUAUAUCACCUUGUGCUUCUGGGUCAAGAUUUGCUAUUGAGUGAAUUCGGGGGAAGAACUGACGUCAAAACUUGGGAGCUUCUGAGCUUACAUAGCCAAAGCCUGUCUGCCUAGGGAUGGUGCUGCCCAAGAAAAGUCUCCACAGACAUGGUUUUUGAUGGAUAGAGUUUUUUUAACUCCCAGGAUUGCAAGCUCUCGUCCACUCUCUGUCAUCAUAUUCUGUCCCCAUAUUCAGAUCUCUCAGGCACACUGACCUCUGCACCACAUCUAAGAAGCCUUCCUCAUAUUUCCCAUUUGCUCUUUGCCUCCUCCACAGCUUCCCCUAUGUGUGUUAUACUGAAGCUUUGGUAAGACUCCCCAGCCCUCUCAGCAUACGCAGGUCGCUGUGCCCUGUGGAACCCAGGAGGACAACUUGCAAAGUUCCAGAAGCCACCCCUGCUAGGAGUCUUUCUUAUCUUUCUCCCCCUACCCUGUGAUAUCUGACUGGGCAUUCCCGUAGAUGCAAGGCAAACAAAGCCAUGUACAUUCCUGCCCAUUAUCCACACUGGCUGUGCUUCAGAGUACAGAACUGUGGAGUGUGCCAUGAGCACAAUAGGCUCCAGGUCCUGCAGAGACCCAGUGCACAUAGCCAUGAAUUUAUGAAUUUAGAACAGAAUCCACAGCUGGGCUCUAGCCCUGCUUGUCUUGAGCCUCUGUGAACCAAGAAGUGCUCACACAUAGGUCACAAGUAAGACUCGCACCUAAGUCUGCCUUGUUUUUCAGACCUUGACACCAACAAGAUACCCUAGAUAAUGCUUGGUGAACAAUGGCCACUUUCAGUCCCCGAAUCCCACUUAAAGACUUAACACCUGAUUCCUCAAGUGUCCAAAUCCCCUGAUAAUUUAAAUGAAGG